Centruroides sculpturatus (bark scorpion) is the source of this 497-nucleotide long non-coding RNA. RefSeq lists it as uncharacterized. Lineage: Eukaryota; Metazoa; Arthropoda; Arachnida; Scorpiones; Buthidae. The transcript is spliced from 2 exons. The record is from RefSeq and is a predicted model, not a curated record.
CUAGCAUAAAACAGAAAACGUAAAAAUUUUUCUGAAAUUUUGGCUGAAACAAAACUGAAAAUAGAGUAGAGCAUGUCUCUACUUUUUACGCCGAAAAAUUUUUACGCCAAAAUUCCUCCAAUAAAGAGAAGUCUUUCCUGUGACGUCGAAGUAGACACGUGGUUUUUAUUCUAACAAUGGCGGCAAUGAGGGUUAACCCUACAAUUGUGAUGGUCUCGAAAAAACGAAAAAUAAAUGAAAUAGAGGAGUUUAUUGAAUCCGUUCGACCAAAUCAGUGUCAUGUAUAAAGACACUGUAUUUAAACAACGUUUAUGGAUGGCUACAGGUGUUAAAUUUCAAAUAACAGCAGAGGAAGUGUAGAAAAAAUGGAAGGUACAAAGGAAUAGAUAGCCUAUAUGAGAGGAAAAAAUUAAUAAAAUUAGUACUGUUGGUGGCAGUGGUGUUUUCUAUUCGGCCAGAAUUUUUACGUAUGUGUGUUCUGGCAUAAAAGCGUAAAA